Long non-coding RNA from Oncorhynchus gorbuscha (pink salmon), 1132 nucleotides. RefSeq lists it as uncharacterized. The record is from RefSeq and is a predicted model, not a curated record. NCBI's taxonomy places the organism in Eukaryota, Metazoa, Chordata, Actinopteri, Salmoniformes, Salmonidae. The transcript has 4 exons.
CUGAUAUUGCAGGCGGAAGCCUGAGAAAAAUCCAAUCCAGAAGGGACUCUUAUUUAGAAACCUCUGCGUUCCUAUGCGUCACUAUGGAGCAGUGAAUGGGAUAUCAACUAGAAUACUUUUUCUAUGGCUUCCCUAAUGUGUCUAGUGUCACAAGACAUAGUGUCAGGCUUUUAUUUUGAUGGAUCUAAUUUGGAAUAUGUUAUCGGCGUUGUCGUGACCACUUAUGCUAAUUAGUGUCAGUUGAUGACAAUUCUCCGGGAGGGGUAGUUCUAUUAAAGCAUCUUGGCUACAGAGUGCUAUGGGGCGAUAAUCAUUUAGGUAGGAUAAUUUGACAUUCUUGGGCAGAGGGACUAUGUUAGUCUGCUUGAAACUUGUAGGUACUUUAUUACAGACUGGGUCAGGGAGAGGUUGAUAAUGUCAGUGAAAACAUUUGCCAGCUGGUCAGAGCAUGCUCGGAGUACGUGUCCUGGUAAUCUGUUUGGCCCUGCGACCUUGUGAAUGUUAACCUGUUUAAAGGUUUUACUCACGUCGGCUAUGGAGAGCGUGUUCACACAGUCGUCCAGAAACAACUGGUGCUUUCAUGCAUGGUUCCGUGUUGCUAGCCUCAAAGCGAGCAUAGAAGGCAUUGAGCUCGUCUGGUAGGCUCGCGUCACAGGACAGCUCACGACUGGGUUCCCCUUUGUAGUCCAUGAUAGUUUGCAAGCCCUGACACAUUUGACAAGUGUCAGAGCACAUCUGACAAUUCAUGUGUUAGAAAGUGGUAAAGAGGAAUAAAAUGUCCAGGAUUGUUUCUCUGACUUGAGUCAAAGUAUUGUCACACCAAUGUUAAUCCCUAUCUUUCCGAAACAGAAAAGACAACAAGAGGGAAAGAUUAUGAAAGCAGGAUGAACAGAGAUUGGCAAGACCCUCUUUUGUUUGAACAAUUGGCAGUGUAAAAUCUGCUGCAAUGUGAACUGGGUCAGGAGGUCUGAGUGCAACAUGUGUAACACUCCUAAAUUUGUCCAGCAUGAGGAGAGAACAGGAUAUGGUGGAGGGUUCAAUGAGCGGGAGAAUGUGGAGUACAUCGACCGAGAGCAAUCUGAUGGAGAAUAGGACAAGAGGACCUGAGCCCUAGGACAAUGCCUCAGGACUA